UCUGAAAAUUAGAUGGGCAUGGUGGCACA
Molecule: non-coding RNA, 29 nt
Filed under: Homo sapiens (human)
Lineage: Eukaryota; Metazoa; Chordata; Mammalia; Primates; Hominidae
Source: RNAcentral